RNAcentral lists this ribosomal RNA (468 nucleotides) under uncultured bacterium. RNAcentral describes it as "partial 16S ribosomal RNA". It matches the Rfam family "Bacterial small subunit ribosomal RNA", at positions 28 to 507 of the family's 1533-position model. The record is from RNAcentral.
GACGAACGCUGGCGGCGUGCUUAACACAUGCAAGUCGAACGGAAAGGCCCUGCUUUUGUGGCGUGCUCGAGUGGCGAACAGGUGAGUAACACGUGAGUAACCUGCCCUUGACUUUGGGAUAUCUUCAGGAAACUGGGGCUAAUACCGGAUAGGAGCUCCUGCUGCAUGGUGGGGGUUGGAAAGUUUCGGCGGUUGGGGAUGGACUCGCGGCUUAUCAGCUUGUUGGUGGGGUAGUGGCUUACCAAGCCUUUGACGGGUAGCCGGCCUGAGAGGGUGACCGGCGACAUUGGGACUGAGAUACGGCCCAGAAUCCUACGGGAGGCAGCAGUGGGGAAUAUUGCGCAAUGGGCGGAAGCCUGAUGCAGCAACGCCGCGUGCGGGAUGACGGCCUUCGGGUUGUAAACCGCUGUCGCCUGUGACGAAGCGUGAGUGACGGUAAUGGGUAAAGAAGCACCGGCUAACUACGUG